RNAcentral lists this ribosomal RNA (651 nucleotides) under uncultured soil bacterium. RNAcentral's name for it is "bacterial SSU rRNA". It matches the Rfam family "Bacterial small subunit ribosomal RNA", at positions 33 to 701 of the family's 1533-position model. The record is from RNAcentral.
ACGCUGGCGGCGUGCCUAACACAUGCAAGUCGAACGAGAAAGUGGAGCAAUCCAUGAGUAAAGUGGCGACCGGGUGAGUAACACGUGACUAACCUACCCUAGAGUGGGGAAUAACCUCGGGAAACCGGGGCUAAUACCGCAUAACAUCGCGAGGGGAAGAUCCUUGCGAUCAAAGGAGCAAUUCGCUCAAGGAGGGGGUCGCGGCUGAUUAGCUAGUUGGAGAGGUAACGGCCCACCAAGGCAAAGAUCAGUAUCCGGCCUGAGAGGGCGCACGGACACACUGGAACUGAAACACGGUCCAGACUCCUACGGGAGGCAGCAGUGGGGAAUUUUGCGCAAUGGGGGAAACCCUGACGCAGCAACGCCGCGUGGAGGAUGAAGUCCCUUGGGAUGUAAACUCCUUUCGAUCGGGACGAUUAUGACGGUACCGGAAGAAGAAGCACCGGCUAACUCUGUGCCAGCAGCCGCGGUAAUACAGAGGGUGCAAGCGUUGUUCGGAAUUAUUGGGCGUAAAGGGCGCGUAGGCGGUGCUGUAAGUCCGUGGUGAAAUCUCUGGGCUCAACUCAGAGUCUGCCAUAGAAACUGCAGUGCUGGAGUGUGGGAGAGGUGAGUGGAAUUCCCGGUGUAGCGGUGAAAUGCGUAGAUAUCGGG